Molecule: ribosomal RNA, 425 nt
Filed under: uncultured bacterium
Lineage: Bacteria
Description: partial 16S ribosomal RNA
Rfam family: Bacterial small subunit ribosomal RNA
Source: RNAcentral
GUGGGGAAUAUUGGACAAUGGGCGCAAGCCUGAUCCAGCCAUGCCGCGUGAGUGAUGAAGGCCUUAGGGUUGUAAAGCUCUUUCACCGAUGAAGAUAAUGACGGUAGUCGGAGAAGAAGCCCCGGCUAACUUCGUGCCAGCAGCCGCGGUAAUACGAAGGGGGCUAGCGUUGUUCGGAUUUACUGGGCGUAAAGCGCACGUAGGCGGUUUGUUAAGUCAGAGGUGAAAUCCCGGAGCUCAACUCCGGAACUGCCUUUGAUACUGGCAAGCUAGAGUCCGGAAGAGGUAAGUGGAAUUCCGAGUGUAGAGGUGAAAUUCGUAGAUAUUCGGAGGAACACCAGUGGCGAAGGCGGCUUACUGGUCCAUUACUGACGCUGAGGUGCGAAAGCGUGGGGAGCAAACAGGAUUAGAUACCCUAGUAGUCC